Molecule: unclassified non-coding RNA, 2263 nt
Filed under: Hevea brasiliensis (rubber tree)
Lineage: Eukaryota; Viridiplantae; Streptophyta; Magnoliopsida; Malpighiales; Euphorbiaceae
Source: RNAcentral
GAGAUGGUCAAGGAGAGCGCAAGACAGGCGAGAGGAUAUAUGAUUACGACGUUUACAACGAUCUUGGCAGCCCUGAUAGCAGCGAAGACCUAAAAAGACCCGUUCUUGGCGGCGAAGAGCGCCCUUACCCUAGACGUUGCCGAACAGGAAGGCCAAGGUGCAAGAAUGAUCCACUUUCGGAGUCGAGGGACGGCAACUUCUACGUGCCUCGAGACGAAGAAUUCUCAGAAGUAAAGGGGCUGACGUUUUCGGUGAAGACAGUUGACUCGGUAUUGCAUGCAGUGAUUCCCUCGUUAGAGACGUCAAUUGUAGAUUCUAACCUUGGAUUCCCAUACUUCGCCGCAAUAGAUUCGCUGUUCGAUGAAGGAAUCAAUUUGCCUCCUCUUACCAAACAAGGGUGGAGAAAUAUCCUUCCCAAUCUUAUCAAGGCUAUCACUGAUGAGGCUAAAGACUUGUUGCGAUUUGAUACCCCUGCAACAAUGGCCAAAGACAGAUUCUUUUGGCUCAGAGAUGUGGAAUUCGGUCGCCAGACCGUUGCUGGCCUCAACCCAUUGAGCAUACAAUUGGUCACGGAAUGGCCACUAAAGAGCGAACUUGAUCCUGAGAUCUAUGGCCCGCCAGAAUCAGCAAUCACCACAGAAACUAUUGAGCAAGAAAUUAGAGGUUUUAUGACAGUUGAGGAGGCUAUAAAGCAAAAGAAGCUCCUCAUCCUUGACUACCAUGACUUGUUUUUGCCAUUUGUGAGUAAAGUAAGACAGAUUGAGAACACCACGCUAUAUGGGUCUCGGACACUCUUCUUCUUAACCCCAGAUGAUACAUUGCGGCCGCUAGCCAUCGAGCUUACUCGCCCACCCAUGGACAGAAAACCACAGUGGAAGCAAGUUUAUGUACCAACUUGGCAUUCCACCGGUGCUUGUCUUUGGAGCCUAGCCAAAGCUCAUGUCCUUGCACAUGACUCCGGCUAUCACCAACUUAUUAGCCACUGGUUAAGAACACACGCUUGCACAGAACCGUACAUAAUUGCAGCCAAUCGACAACUUAGUGCCAUGCAUCCGGUCUAUAGAUUAUUGCUCCCUCAUUUCCGAUACACAAUGGAGAUAAAUGCUUUGGCUCGUAAAGCGCUCAUCAAUGCUGGAGGGAUUAUUGAGUCUUCAUUCUUUCCUGGAAAGUAUAGUAUGGAGAUGAGCUCUGUUAUUUAUGAUAAGCUGUGGAGGUUUGACCAUCAGUCACUUCCCAAUGAUCUAAUUAGCCGGGGAAUGGCUGUUAAAGAUCCAUCUGCUCCACAUGGUGUAAGACUAACAAUCCAAGACUAUCCUUUUGCAAAUGACGGACUACUUUUGUGGGAUGCCAUUAAAAAAUGGGUGAGUGACUAUGUGAAUCAUUACUAUACAGACCCAAGUCAGGUUUUAUCCGAUGAAGAGCUCCAGUCAUUUUGGACAGAAGUUCGAACUGUAGGCCACGGUGACAAAAAGGAUGAGCCAUGGUGGCCUGAGCUAAAAACACCCGCUGACCUGAUCGAAAUCAUCACAACAAUUGUAUGGGUAACAUCAGGUCACCAUGCAGCAGUGAACUUUGGACAAUAUGAAUAUGCAGGAUAUUUCCCAAAUAGACCUACAGUUGCUAGAAUGAAAAUGCCAACUGAAGACCCAACUGACGAAGAGUGGAAAUUCUUUUUGGAAAAACCUGAAGUCAUACUUUUAAGAACAUUCCCUUCACAGGUUCAGGCAGCAAAAGUGAUGGCUAUUCUGGAUGUGCUAUCGAAUCAUUCUCCUGAUGAGGAGUAUCUUGGGGAGGCAAUAGAGGCAGCCUGGAGUGAGGAACCUGUUAUAAAAGCAGCUUUUGAAAAGUUCAAUGGGAGGCUGAAGGAGAUAGAAGGAAUUAUUGAUGAAAGGAAUGCUAAUGUGGAUUUGAAGAACAGAAGUGGAGCUGGCAUUGUGCCUUAUGAACUUCUAAAGCCAUUCUCUGAGCCUGGGGUUACGUCGAAAGGAGUUCCUUACAGUAUCUCCAUUUGAGCGAGGCUUUAAUCUGUUUUCUCAUCUUAAAGAGAAAUUAAUGGUUCUGAGGCCCAAUGCGUGGCAUUGCCUUUUCAUGCAUGUUCAGAAUCCUGUGAUACUAGCCUUAAUUCCUUGUGAUAUUAAUAAGUGGGGUAGCUACAGUUGAAUGCGACUUCCUCAGUUUGGAUUUUUAAUCUAUUUUAUAAGAAAAAAAAAAAGAAAUAAAUGCUUCUGAUUUGAUCAAUGUAUUCAGCUUCAUGAUCUCUUGU